Molecule: non-coding RNA, 126 nt
Organism: Triticum aestivum (bread wheat)
Lineage: Eukaryota; Viridiplantae; Streptophyta; Magnoliopsida; Poales; Poaceae
Source: Rfam
CAACUACUCCCUUUGUACGAAAAAACUUGUCCCAAGCUUGUCUUUCAAAUGGAUGUAUCUAGCACUAACUUGGUGCUAGAUACAUUCAUUUGAGGAACAUGCCUUUUCGGACUGAGGGAGUACAAG